Molecule: ribosomal RNA, 253 nt
Filed under: uncultured bacterium
Lineage: Bacteria
Description: partial 16S ribosomal RNA
Rfam family: Bacterial small subunit ribosomal RNA
Source: RNAcentral
UACGUAGGGGGCAAGCGUUGUCCGGAUUUAUUGGGCGUAAAGAGCGUGUAGGCGGUUUGGUAGGUCCGCUGUGAAAACUCGAGGCUCAACCUCGAGACGCCGGUGGAAACCAUCAGACUAGAGUCCGGAAGAGGAGAGUGGAAUUCCUGGUGUAGCGGUGAAAUGCGCAGAUAUCAGGAAGAACACCCGUGGCUAAGGCGGCUCACUGGCUCAUUACUGACGCUCAGGCGCGACAGCGUGGGGAUCAAACAGG